AACGAACGCUGGCGGCAGGCCUAACACAUGCAAGUCGAACGCUGUAGCAAUACAGAGUGGCAGACGGGUGAGUAACGCGUGGGAACAUACCCUUCGGUUCGGAAUAACUCAGGGAACGUUAGAGCUAAUACCGGAUACGUGCGAGAGCAGAAAGAUUCAUCGCCGAAGGAUUGGCCCGCGUUCGAUUAGCUUGUUGGUGAGGUAAUGGCUCACCAAGGCGACGAUCGAUAGCUGGUCUGAGAGGAUGAUCAGCCACAUU
RNAcentral lists this ribosomal RNA (259 nucleotides) under uncultured bacterium. RNAcentral's name for it is "partial 16S ribosomal RNA". It matches the Rfam family "Bacterial small subunit ribosomal RNA", at positions 29 to 314 of the family's 1533-position model. The record is from RNAcentral.